CAAUAGCGUAUAUUAAAGUUGUUGCGGUUAAAAGCUCGUAGUUGGAUUUCUGUCGAGGGUGGGCGGUCCGCACUAUGUGCGUGUAUCUGUUACGGCCUUGGCAUCCUCUUGGGGAACGUGUCUGUGCUUGAUUGCAUGGGCGCGGUAUUCAAGACUUUUACUUUGAGGAAAUUAGAGUGUUCACGGCAAGCAUAGCUUUGAAUACAUUAGCAUGGAAUAAUAAUAUAGGGACAUUCGUACUAUUUUGUUGGUUUCUAGAACGAGUGUAAUGAUUAAUAGGGAUAAUUGGGGGCAUUCGUAUUAACGCGUCAGAGGUGGAAUUCUUGGAUUGCGUUACGACGAACUACUGCGAAAGCAUUUGCCAAAGGAUUGUUUUCUAUUGAUCAAGAAACGAAAGUA
This 399-nucleotide ribosomal RNA is filed under the name uncultured eukaryote. Its description in RNAcentral is "SSU rRNA". It matches the Rfam family "Eukaryotic small subunit ribosomal RNA", at positions 592 to 991 of the family's 1831-position model. The record is from RNAcentral.